Molecule: ribosomal RNA, 468 nt
Filed under: uncultured bacterium
Lineage: Bacteria
Description: partial 16S ribosomal RNA
Rfam family: Bacterial small subunit ribosomal RNA
Source: RNAcentral
GACGAACGCUGGCGGCGUGCUUAACACAUGCAAGUCGAACGGAAAGGCCCUGCUUUUGUGGGGUGCUCGAGUGGCGAACGGGUGAGUAACACGUGAGUAACCUGCCCUUGACUUUGGGAUAACUUCAGGAAACUGGGGCUAAUACCGGAUAGGAGCUCCUGCUGCAUGGUGGGGGUUGGAAAGUUUCGGCGGUUGGGGAUGGACUCGAGGCUUAUCAGCUGGUUGGUGAGGUAGUGGCUUACCAAGGCUUUGACGGGUAGCCGGCCUGGGAGGGGGACCGGCGACAUUGGGACUGAGAUACGGCCCAGACUCCUACGGGAGGCAGCAGGGGGGAAUAUUGCAGAAUGGGCGGAAGCCUGAUGCAGCAACGCCGCGUGCGGGAUGACGGCCUUCGGGUUGUAAACCGCUGUCGCCGGUGACGAAGCGUGAGUGACGGUAAUGGGUAAAGAAGCACCGGCUAACUACGUG